GCCUAUGGCCAUACCACCCUGUCUGAUCUUGGAAGCUAAGUAGGAUUGGGCUUGGUUAGUACUUGGAUGGAGACCACUUGGAAAUACCAGUUGCUGUAGGCU
Molecule: ribosomal RNA, 102 nt
Organism: Otolemur garnettii (small-eared galago)
Lineage: Eukaryota; Metazoa; Chordata; Mammalia; Primates; Galagidae
Source: Ensembl